GAUGAACGCUGGCGGCGUGCCUAAUACAUGCAAGUCGAGCGAACCGGGGACGGGUGGUUAACACGUGAAUAACUUCCUUUAGAACUGGAUUAACUUCGGGAAACCGAGGCUAAACCGAAAACUAAAGGAGGGACCCGCGCUGCAUUAGCUAGUUGGUAAGGUAACGCCUUACCAAGGCAACGAUGCAUAGCCGACCUGAGAGGGUGAUCGGCCACACUGGAACUGAGACACGGUCCAGACUCCUACGGGAGGCAGCAGUAGGGAAUCUUCCGCAAUGGGCGAAAGCCUGACGGAGCAACGCCGCGUGAGUGAUGAAGGUCUUCGGAUCGUAAAACUCUGUUAUUAGGGAAGCGGUACCUAAUCAGAAAGCCACGGCUAACUACGUGCCAGCAGCCGCGGUAAUAC
Molecule: ribosomal RNA, 405 nt
Filed under: uncultured bacterium
Lineage: Bacteria
Description: partial 16S ribosomal RNA
Rfam family: Bacterial small subunit ribosomal RNA
Source: RNAcentral